CGCCUACUCAGAUCUGGCCACCACUGGAACGGUGGCUAAUACCGGAUGUGCCGGAAGGUGAAAGGCUUGCUGCCUGAAGAUGAGCUCGCGUCCGAUUAGCUAGUAGGUGGGGUAAGAGCCUACCUAGGCGACGAUCGGUAGCUGGUCUGAGAGGAUGACCAGCCACACUGGGACUGAGACACGGCCCAGACUCCUACGGGAGGCAGCAGUGGGGAAUUUUCCGCAAUGGGCGAAAGCCUGACGGAGCAAUACCGCGUGAGGGAGGAAGGCUCUUGGGUUGUAAACCUCUUUUCUCAGGGAAGAACACAAUGACGGUACCUGAGGAAUCAGCAUCGGCUAACUCCGUGCCAGCAGCCGCGGUAAUACGGAGGAUGCAAGCGUUAUCCGGAAUGAUUGGGCGUAAAGCGUCCGCAGGUGGCUGUGUAAGUCUGCUGUCAAAGAGCAAAGCUCAACUUUGUAAAGGCAGUGGAAACUACACGGCUAGAGUGCGUUCGGGGCAGAGGGAAUUCCUGGUGUAGCGGUGAAAUGCGUAGAGAUCAGGAAGAACACCGGUGGCGAAGGCGCUCUGCUAGGCCGCAACUGACACUGAGGGACGAAAGCUAGGGGAGCGAAUGGGAUUAGAUAUCCC
Molecule: ribosomal RNA, 628 nt
Filed under: Nostoc calcicola WUC1785
Lineage: Bacteria; Bacillati; Cyanobacteriota; Cyanophyceae; Nostocales; Nostocaceae
Description: bacterial SSU rRNA
Rfam family: Bacterial small subunit ribosomal RNA
Source: RNAcentral